Hydra vulgaris (swiftwater hydra) is the source of this 505-nucleotide non-coding RNA. NCBI's taxonomy places the organism in Eukaryota, Metazoa, Cnidaria, Hydrozoa, Anthoathecata, Hydridae. The record is from RefSeq and is a predicted model, not a curated record.
AAUUAAGAAACGUUGAAAAAGUGUUACUUUGCCAACGUUAAUAAAACGUUGUUUUGACAAUGUUGAGGAAGUGGCACAUUGAAAAUUAUUGUCUCAAUAACUAGCCAUUACAAAAAUAAAUUGCCGUAAUGGAAAGGCAAGGAAAACUUGAUAGAAUGCAUGCAUAUGGUUUGAAGCAGAGGCAGUUGUUCCAUCUUGUUCGAAAAAAGAUGGAUGGUUAUUUUGGUCAACUUGUGUUCAUGCAAUGAAAGCUACCUAUAAUAAUUUUUCGAUCAUUGACUCAUGCAACAAACUUAGACUUAAAAGAGUUAAAGUAACUCAAGAUAAAGAAGUAUGUGCAGGAUUUAAUUUCACAACUAAAGAGGACUCCGAAGAAGAAUUAAAGUUCUGGUAGAUCAAAGAUCGAGGAAUGAUUUGGUUUUAACUGAUUUGCAUCUUAUGAACGAAGUACAUAAUUUGAUUUAAAUUAAUGAUUUAUAGUUACACCUAUUGAAGUAAGUUUUAU